UUAAGAUGAUUGGAGGGCAGCAGCCUAUUGGAAUCCCGAUGAACGUGGAAAGGUGUCAGGGAGGGGUAGCUGUGGUGUGGAGGAGCCCCACAUUUUCGUCCCUGUCUUGUCACAAAGAAGGAGCCCAUCGCUGUGAUUAGAAGGACUUAGAAUUGGGUGCUAAGCAGGCCUCUUCCUACUGAUAGGUGGACACAUCUAUUUCUUUCUGAUGGAUAAAAGUGGAUUCCUGAAUAUGUGAUAUGCCUCUCUGGGGACCUGUGGAAUGACAUUUUGCAUGU
RNAcentral lists this long non-coding RNA (278 nucleotides) under Homo sapiens (human). RNAcentral describes it as "non-protein coding lnc-DECR2-4:1". The record is from RNAcentral. Lineage: Eukaryota; Metazoa; Chordata; Mammalia; Primates; Hominidae.